CUUCGGGUGAGUGGCAGACGGGUGAGUAACGCGUGGGAUCCUGGCCUGUGGUACGGAAUAACUCUGGGAAAUCGGAGCUAGUACCGUAUACGCCCUACGGGGGAGAGAUUAUCGCCAUGGGAUGGGCCCGCGUCAGAUUAGCUUGUUGGUGGGGUAACGGCCUACCAAGGCUACGAUCUGUAGCUGGUCUGAGAGGAUGAUCAGCCACACUGGGACUGAUACACGGUCCAGACUCCUACGGGAUGCAGCAGUGGGGAAUCUUGGACAAUGGGCGAAAGCCUGAUCCAGCCAUGCCGCGUGAGUGAAGAAGGCCCUAGGGUUGUAAAGCUCUUUCAGCGGGGAAGAUAAUGACGGUACCCGCAGAAGAAGCCCCGGCUAACUUCGUGCCAGCAGCCGCGGUAAUACGAAGGGGGCUAGCGUUGUUCGGAAUUACUGGGCGUAAAGCGCGCGUAGGCGGACUGGCCAGUCAGGGGUGAAAGCCCGGGGCUUAACCUCGGAACUGCCCUUGAUACUGCCAGUCUAGAGUCCGGCAGAGGUGAGUGGAAUUCCUAGUGUAGAGGUGAAAUUCGUAGAUAUUAGGAAGAACACCAGUGGCGAAGGCGGCUCACCUGGGCCGAGACUGACGCUGAGGCGCGAAAGCGUGGGGAGCCAACAGGAUUAGAUACCCUGGUAGUCCACGCCGUAAACGAUGGAUGCUAGCCGUUGGG
Molecule: ribosomal RNA, 707 nt
Filed under: uncultured organism
Description: bacterial SSU rRNA
Rfam family: Bacterial small subunit ribosomal RNA
Source: RNAcentral